RNAcentral lists this unclassified non-coding RNA (312 nucleotides) under plant metagenome. Its description in RNAcentral is "partial contains 5.8S ribosomal RNA, internal transcribed spacer 2, and large subunit ribosomal RNA". The stretch from base 1 to 105 matches the Rfam family "5.8S ribosomal RNA", at positions 50 to 154 of the family's 154-position model. The record is from RNAcentral.
GAAAUGCGAUAAGUAAUGUGAAUUGCAGAAUUCCGUGAAUCAUCGAAUCUUUGAACGCACAUUGCGCCCUCUGACAUUCCGGGGGGCAUGCCUGUCCGAGCGUCAUUACGCACCCUCAAGCCCGGCUUGUGUGAUGGGCCCCGGCGUCUCGUUCGCGAGACGGGCCCGAAAGGCAGCGGCGGCGUCGACCCGAUGAGCCCGAGCGUAUGGGGACUUCUGUCACACGUUCGCGGUGCGGACCGGCGCCUGCUUGACUUUUCUGAUUAUCCAGGUUGACCUCGGAUCAGGUAGGGAUACCCGCUGAACUUAAGC